Molecule: ribosomal RNA, 465 nt
Filed under: uncultured bacterium
Lineage: Bacteria
Description: partial 16S ribosomal RNA
Rfam family: Bacterial small subunit ribosomal RNA
Source: RNAcentral
GACGAACGCUGGCGGCGUGCUUAACACAUGCAAGUCGUACGGUAAGGCCCUUUCGGGGGUACACGAGUGGCGAACGGGUGAGUAACACGUGAGUAACCUGCCCACAAUUUUGGGAUAACGCUAGGAAACUGGUGCUAAUACUGGAUAUGUGCUCCUGCUGCAUGGUGGGGGUUGGAAAGCUCCGGCGGUUGUGGAUGGACUCGCGGCCUAACGGCUUGUUGGUGGGGUAGUCGGCUACCAAGGCGGCGACGGGUAGCCGGCCUGAGGGGGUGACCGGCCACAUUGGGACUGAGGGACGGAACAGGCGCCUACGGGAGGCAACAGUGGGGAAUAUUGCACAAUGAGCGCAAGCCUGAUGAAGAAGCGCCGCGUGCGGGAAGACGGCCUUCGGGUUGUAAACCGCUUUCAGCAGGGACGAAGCUUUUUGUGACGGUACCUGAAGAAGAAGCACCGGCUAACUACGUG